GCCGGGGUGGCAGAGCCAGGCUAAUGCGGCAGCCUCGAGAGCUGUUGACCCUUUGGGUCGUCAGGGUUCAAAUCCCUGCCCCGGCGCCA
Molecule: transfer RNA, 89 nt
Filed under: Hadesarchaea archaeon DG-33
Lineage: Archaea; Methanobacteriati; Hadarchaeota (SeqCode); Hadarchaeia (SeqCode)
Also listed under: 2 other names
Description: tRNA-Ser
Rfam family: tRNA
About the family: Transfer RNA (tRNA) molecules are approximately 80 nucleotides in length.
Source: RNAcentral